GACGAACGCUGGCGGCGUGCUUAACACAUGCAAGUCGAACGGAAAGGUCCUGCUUUUGUGGGGUGCUCGAGUGGCGAACGGGUGAGUAACACGUGAGUAACCUGCCCUUGACGUUGGGAUAACUUCAGGAAACUGGGGCUGAUACCGGAUAGGAGCUCCUGGUGCGUGGUGGGGGUUGGAAAGUUGCGGCGGUUGGGGAUGGACUCGCGGCUUAUCAGCUUGUGGGUGGGGUAGUGGCUUACCAAGGCUUUGGCGGGUAGCCGGCCUGCGAGGGUGACCGGCCCCAUUAGGACUGGGCUGCGGCACAGACUCCUACGGGACGCAGCAGUGGGGAAUAUUGCACAAUGGGCGGAAGCCUGAUGCAGCAACGCCGCGUGCGGGAUGACGGCCUUCGGGUUGUAAACCGCUUUCGCCUGUGACGAAGCGUGAGUGACGGUACUGGGUAAAGAAGCACCGGCUAACUACGUG
Molecule: ribosomal RNA, 468 nt
Filed under: uncultured bacterium
Lineage: Bacteria
Description: partial 16S ribosomal RNA
Rfam family: Bacterial small subunit ribosomal RNA
Source: RNAcentral